RNAcentral lists this transfer RNA (85 nucleotides) under Propionibacteriaceae bacterium. RNAcentral describes it as "tRNA-Ser". It matches the Rfam family "tRNA". From Rfam's summary of the family: Transfer RNA (tRNA) molecules are approximately 80 nucleotides in length. Their secondary structure includes four short double-helical elements and three loops (D, anti-codon, and T loops). Lineage: Bacteria; Bacillati; Actinomycetota; Actinomycetes; Propionibacteriales; Propionibacteriaceae. The record is from RNAcentral.
GGAAGGCACCGCCCAGUGGUGGGCGCACGGUUUCGAAAGCCGUUGGCACGCAUAGCGCGUGGGGGUUCGACUCCUCUGUCUUCCG